Molecule: microRNA precursor, 85 nt
Filed under: Bombyx mori (domestic silkworm)
Lineage: Eukaryota; Metazoa; Arthropoda; Insecta; Lepidoptera; Bombycidae
Description: mir-2807 microRNA precursor family
Rfam family: mir-2807 microRNA precursor family
Source: Rfam by way of RNAcentral
UAAAAGUUAACUCAAUUUGGAUUUGGAACGUUUGCCUACGUUUGCCGCUAGGGGCGCUGUUCCAACUGCAUACAAAUUAAAGUUA